GCCCCGGCUGUGAGGUCUCUUUC
This 23-nucleotide microRNA is filed under the name Cordylochernes scorpioides. The record is from RNAcentral. Lineage: Eukaryota; Metazoa; Arthropoda; Arachnida; Pseudoscorpiones; Chernetidae.